RNAcentral lists this long non-coding RNA (458 nucleotides) under Homo sapiens (human). Its description in RNAcentral is "HSALNT0311784". Lineage: Eukaryota; Metazoa; Chordata; Mammalia; Primates; Hominidae. The record is from RNAcentral.
GGCUCAGGGUUCUCUGUCCAGUCCUCAGCUGCCCUGGAGCACCCAAGAGGCAGACUGGCUGGGUGAUGCCUACGUGUUGAGAUCCUGGUCCCUCCACACACGCUCUACCAGCUGCUGCGUGAUGCCCGUGUCCAAGAUCAGGUUGUGCAGAAGGAAGUUGUUGCCUGGAACAGGAGGGGAGGGGUGGGGGUGGGGGCAUCUUCUUGCAGCUCCUUGCCCACCCUCACCCCCACCCUUAAGGCUCCACCAGGAGCCUCCUCCAUGACCUGGCCCUGGCCCAGGCCCAGCCCUUAGCUUGUGCCUGCUUAUUUCCACACCUGCCCGGCCUCUGGGUUCCUCUGGGCUGGCCCCAUGCUGCCUGGGCACUGCCCAGAGCCAGCUGCCCUGCCAGGCACUCACACUGCUUGGAGUCUGGAGUCACUUUCUCCAUGAGCUCAAUAAAGUUUUUCAGGAACUCG